GUUGAGGUGUGUCCUGAUGGGGCUUUUUUUCUGUAGACCUAUAUUAUUGGAAACACCUUGUAGAGUACAUUUGUGGUUUCCUUUAUUCACAGAAAAAUGUGUUAGAUCUGUGGGAAAGAACUACAAGACAUCU
Hyaena hyaena (striped hyena) is the source of this 133-nucleotide small nucleolar RNA. The record is from RefSeq and is a predicted model, not a curated record. Lineage: Eukaryota; Metazoa; Chordata; Mammalia; Carnivora; Hyaenidae.